RNAcentral lists this unclassified non-coding RNA (923 nucleotides) under uncultured Bordetella sp. Its description in RNAcentral is "partial 16S-23S ribosomal RNA intergenic spacer". It matches the Rfam family "Bacterial small subunit ribosomal RNA", at positions 568 to 1499 of the family's 1533-position model. The record is from RNAcentral. Lineage: Bacteria; Pseudomonadati; Pseudomonadota; Betaproteobacteria; Burkholderiales; Alcaligenaceae.
UGCGCAGGCGGUUCGGAAAGAAAGAUGUGAAAUCCCAGAGCUUAACUUUGGAACUGCAUUUUUAACUACCGAGCUAGAGGUGUCGGAGGGAGGUGAAUUCCGCGUGUAGCAGUGAAAUGCGUAGAUAUGCGGAGGAACACCGAUGGCGAAGGCAGCCUCCUGGGAUAACACUGACGUCUCCGCGCACGAAAGCGCGUGGGGAGCAAACAGAUUAGAUACCUCUGGUAGUCCACGCCCUAAACGAUGUCAACUAGCUGUUGUGGGGCCUUCGGCCCUGGUAGCGCAGCUAACGCGUGAAGUUGACCGCCUGGGGAGUACGGUCGCAAGAUUAAAACUCAAAGGAAUUGACGGGACCCGCACAAGCGGUGGAUGAUGUGGAUUAAUUCGAUGCAACGCGAAAAACCCACCUACCCUUGACAUGUCUGGAAUCCCGAAGAGAUUUGGGAGUGCUCGCAAGAGAACCGGAACACAGGUGCUGCAUGGCUGUCGUCAGCUCGUGUCGUGAGAUGUUGGGUUAAGUCCCGCAACGAGCGCAACCCUUGUCAUUAGUUGCUACGAAAGGGCACUCUAAUGAGACUGCCGGUGACAAACCGGAGGAAGGUGGAUGACGUCAAGUCCUCAUGGCCCUUAUGGGCAGGGCUUCACACGUCAUACAAUGGUCGGGACAGAGGGUCGCCAACCCGCGAGGGGAGCCAAUCCCAGAAACCCGAUCGUAGUCCGGAUCGCAGUCUGCAACUCGACUGCGUGAAGUCGGAAUCGCUAGUAAUCGCGGAUCAGCAUGUGUCGCGGUGAAUACGUUCCUGGCCCUUGUACACACCGCCCGUCACACCAUGGGAGUGGGUUUUACCAGAAGUAGUUAGCCUAACCGUAAGGAGGGCGAUUACCACGGUAGAUUCAUGACUGGGGUGGUCGUAACAAGGUAA